GCAAGUAAAGAAGGGCGCACGGUGGAUGCCUAGGCUCUUGCAGGCGAAGAAGGACGUGGUAAGCUGCGAAAAGUCGCGGAGAGGCGCAAACAGCCAUUGACCCGCGAAUGUCCGAAUGGGAAAACCCGGCAUGUCGAAGACAUGUCAUCCCUUAUGGGAGGCGAACGCGGGGAACUGAAACAUCUUAGUACCCGCAGGAAGAGAAAAUAAGAAUGAUUCCCCCAGUAGCGGCGAGCGACCGGGGAAGAGCCCAAACCCAAGGUGUGCAAGCACGUUGGGGGUUGUAGGACCGGAGUUAGUUGGAGAAAGAUGGAAGCUGAAUGUACUGGAAAGUGCAGCCGCAGCGGGUGAAAGCCCCUUAGGCGUAACAGAGGUCUCCUGAUCCGGCACCUGAGUAGGUCGGGACACGAGGAAUCCUGACUGAAUCCGGCGGGCCCAUCCGCCAAGGCUAAAUACUCGCAAGAGACCGAUAGCGAACCAGUACCGUGAGGGAAAGGUGAAAAGCACCCCGAACAGGGGAGUGAAAGAGUCCCUGAACCCGUGCGCCUACAAGCGGUCGGAGCGGGCAAGUCCCGUGACGGCGUGCCUUUUGCAUAAUGAACCUACGAGUUGUCGUUUCUGGCAAGGCUAAGUGUUUUAGACACGUACCCGCAGCGAAAGCGAGUCCGAAGAGGGCGCAGAGUCAGGAGCGGCAGACGCGAAACCGAGUGAUCUACCCUUGUCCAGGUUGAAGUCCGGGUAACACCGGAUGGAGGACCGAACCAACUGGCGUUGAAAAGCCUCUGGAUGAGGUGAGGGUAGGGGUGAAAGGCCAAUCAAACUCGGAGAUAGCUCGUACUCCCCGAAAUGCAUUUAGGUGCAGCCUCGUAUGUUUAUAAUGAGAGGUAGAGCGACUGAUCGGACGCGAGGGCUUCACCGCCUAUCAAGUCCGGAUAAACUCCGAAUGCUCAUUAUUGAAGUACGGGAGUGAGGGCGUGGGUGCUAAGGUCCGCGCCCGAGAGGAGAAGAAUCCAGACCGUCGGCUAAGGCCCCGAAAUGCGGGUUAAGUUAAUCUAACGAAGUGUAUUCCCGAAGACAGCUAGGAUGUUGGCUUGGAAGCAGCCAUUCAUUCAAAGAGUGCGUAACAGCUCACUAGUCGAGGGAGUGUGCGUGGAUAAUAAUCGGGUAUGAAAUCCGCUGCCGAAGCCACGGGGGCUGUAGAGCCCGGUAGGGGAGCAUUGCAGUUGCGUAGAAUGUCGGGGAUGACCCCGUCUGGAGCGGCUGGAAAAGCAAAUGUAGGUAUAAGUAACGAUAAAGGGUGUGAGAUUCACCCUCGCCGAAAGGCUAAGGUUUCCCGGGCAACGUCAAUCGUCCCGGGGUGAGUCGGGUCCUAAGGCAAAGCCGAAUGGCGCAGUCGAUGGAAAAACGGUAAAGAUUCCGUUACUGGCUCAUGUGGUGAAGCGGCGACGGAGAAGUGACACUUCCGCGCACCGACGGAAUGGUGCGUUUAAGGGUAAAGGCGUAGAGGGACGCAGUGAAGUACACGUUCCGAGCUGAAGCCCGAAAGUACUCCAAGGGAUUCGUCCCGCGGAGAGUGAAGGUAAUCAUGCUCCCGAGAAAACCCGCUAAGCGUUAACACAUGAGGCACCCGUACCGUAAACGGACACACGUAGCCAGGUAGAAAAUACUAAGGCGCUUGGAAGAUUCACGGUUAAGGAACUAGGCAAAUUGACCCUGUAACUUCGGAAGAAAGGGUCCUCACGUGAGUGAGGCGCAGAGAAUAGGUCCAGGCAACUGUUUAACAAAAACACAGGGCUGUGCGAAUUCGAAAGAAGCGGUAUACAGUCUGACACCUGCCCGGUGCCGGAAGGUUAAGAGGAGAGCUCAUCGCAAGAGAAGGUUUGAAUUGAAGCCCCGGUAAACGGCGGCCGUAACUAUAACGGUCCUAAGGUAGCGAAAUUCCUUGUCGGGUAAGUUCCGACCUGCACGAAUGGUGUAAUGAUCUGGACGCUGUCUCAACCGUGAGCUCAGUGAAAUUGUAGUAUCGGUGAAGAUGCCGAUUACCCGCGAUGGGACGAAAAGACCCCGUGAACCUUUACUGCAGCUUAACGUUGUGACCGGGCAUCGCUCGUGUAGGAUAGGCCGGAGGCUGUGAAGAGCCGGCGCCAGCCGGUUUGGAGCCAUCGUUGAAAUACGGCCCCUGCGCUGUCUGGUCCCUAACCCGUGGUUAUGGGGACCGCGUUUGGCGGGCAGUUUGACUGGGGUGGUCGCCUCCAAAAGUGUAACGGAGGCUUCCCAAGGUGCCCUCGGGCCGUAUGGUAACCGGCCCAAGAGUGCAAUGGCAGAAGGGCGCUUGACUGUGAGGCAGACGUGCCGACCAGGUAGGAAACUAGGGCAUAGUGAUCCGGCGGUUCCGUAUGGAAGGGCCGUCGCUCAAAGGAUAAAAGGUACUCCGGGGAUAACAGGCUGAUCCCUCCCAAGAGCUCAUAUCGACGGAGUGGUUUGGCACCUCGAUGUCGGCUCGUCACAUCCUGGGGCUGGAGAAGGUCCCAAGGGUUGGGCUGUUCGCCCAUUAAAGUGGCACGCGAGCUGGGUUCAGAACGUCGUGAGACAGUUCGGUCUCUAUCUAUCGUGGGCGUAGGAAAUUUGCGCGGCUCUGUCACUAGUACGAGAGGACCGUGACGGACUGACCUCUGGUUAACCGGUUGUGCCGCCAGGCGCAUUGCCGGGUAUCCAAGUCGGGAUCGGAUAAGCGCUGAACGCAUCUAAGCGCGAAGCCGGCCGCAAGAUAAGAUUUCCCUUGAGGGUCGUCAGAGACGAUGACGUAGAUAGGGUGCAGGUGUAAAGGCGGUGACGCCAAAGCCGAGCACUACUAAUAGCCCGAGACUUGCACGC
Molecule: ribosomal RNA, 2874 nt
Filed under: human gut metagenome
Description: bacterial LSU rRNA
Rfam family: Bacterial large subunit ribosomal RNA
Source: RNAcentral